AUGCCGGUGUCGCCGGUGUCGGUCCCCACGCGGGGAGGCAAACGACUCUGGACCGGCAGGGUCCCACUAACUACACGUGGUUCUGUUCAUGCUGGAAUGUUGCAGGGCAGCUCCGCCGCCGCACCAGCCACAGGCCCAUUGUCACAAAACGUGCAACAGCUCCCAAAGCCGCCGCAGCUGCAGGAAACGGAACCCCAGAAAUGUCACAGGGCACUGUCCCCUCCCGCCCCGCCUCGGGAGCGGCCAAGGGCAGGCACAGAGCCACGUGAGAGCAAACGCAGGCACCGAGCAUCCCAGAUCACCUGGCAGCUUGUUAGGCUGCUUCACGCUGUCUCAGGGCUGCCACGUACCGUCCAGCUCCACAAGGACGCACCUGGGCUCCAGCGCCCUGGGGUUCCCGGGUCUGAAGGUCGAUGGGCCUGUGUUCUAAAGCCAAGGACAAACACACAGAUGGCAGUGUCGACGUGGGCCACACAGGCAAGCACGGGCCUCAGCUCUGCUCCCGGAGAACGUCACCGAGACAAACCACGGCUUCGGGGCCACUGGAAAAGGGAUACCCUACCACACUCUGACGCCUGCAGACGUGUGACAGCUCCGUCAGAGGUCUUGGUGACAACAGGAAAGCCGGAGCCGUGGUUUCACGGGCAAUGCAUCUUCUCUGUUUCCAGUGGCGCCUCUUAGAACACGCGACCCUGCGUCCCACGGAACGCGCUUCAAUGGGAACGUCUAAGAGGAAGGCGGUGAGCACCCACGGGGCAAUGAACCAAGCCCGUGCCGUCUAUGGCUUAAAGCCAAACAAGAGCCAAGUGGCCAGGGCUUUAUUGAAGAUGCGGAGAGAAUACUGCCAACCUGCACACACGGGGACUCUAUGCUGAGACACCAAGCAGGACACGGAAAAUCUCCCCUCGUUUAAGCACGUGAAAAGACAUGGAGGGGGCAGGCAUUGCGGCGCACAGGGUUAAGCCACCACUUGGGGCCCCUAUCCAAUCCCAGUUCCUGCUAAUGCGCGAGGGAAAGCAACAGAAGAUGGCCCCAGGAUUUGGGUUUCUGCUAUGCACGUGGAAGACCCAGAUGGAGUUCCUAGCUCCUGGCUAUGUCCUGGCUCAGCCACGGCCGUU
This 1118-nucleotide long non-coding RNA is filed under the name Oryctolagus cuniculus (rabbit). RNAcentral describes it as "lncRNA (ENSOCUG00000032060.1)". Lineage: Eukaryota; Metazoa; Chordata; Mammalia; Lagomorpha; Leporidae. The record is from RNAcentral.